RNAcentral lists this long non-coding RNA (1797 nucleotides) under Homo sapiens (human). Its description in RNAcentral is "non-protein coding lnc-CD99L2-2:5". The record is from RNAcentral. Lineage: Eukaryota; Metazoa; Chordata; Mammalia; Primates; Hominidae.
AUGACUUACCGGCGGUGGCUCCGCGGCGUGCGCCCUGCCAGGAGGGGCCUGUGCUCGAGGAGCAGGCCUGGCGAGUAGCCCAGCCACUCCACGUUGAGCCGGGACUUGCCGCGCAACAUGGUCCUCCUGGGCGGGCGGCGGCUACGCCGCCCCCUGAACUCGCGUGAACACUGGUCCUCGUCUGCGUCUCGGUCGCUGAGCUGGGGGCCGCAAGGAGACCCGAGCAUAUGAGCCGCGAAGAGGGACUACCAGCCAGAGGGCUGUGGUGCUAGGCAACUGAGCGUAUUCCGCCGACGACAACACAAAAAAGCAGUGCGCAUUAUUUCGCCACUACUUGAGCAAAUAAAUGCCUCAUUAAUUACUGCCCGCAGUGGUAGGAAGUCAAGCCCUUGGCAGCUGGGAGGAGUUAAAACACUCACCCGAGUCCGUAAAACUAGAGAAUGUCAGAGUUCAAAGAGCUCUUGCUGAGAAUGACUGUUCCAGACUCGAUGCCAGUGACCCCCAACUUCCACUUAAAAGUUAAAAACAUAUUUUGCAGCUGCUCAGAAAGCCGCCAAUGAGACAACAGGGACUCAAAUAGUAAGAACAGAUGGGCCUCCCGGGCCUGCGCAACCCGAGAGAGGUAAAAACGAAAGGGUGGGUAAGUCUGGAGUCAGGCUUGACAAAAUUAAGUUGCCACUGGCUGCUAAUAAGAGGACAGCCCUUAACAUGGUCAGCGCCUGGAAAGGGCCGCUGACCACACAGCUAUUUUCUGCACCACAUGGAUACAAAGACCACAUCUGAAAUCAUGACUAAACCAGCAGCUUAGAGUGGUGGAAAGGGCAAUGGACUGGGCAGCAGGAAGUCCAGGUUUUAGUUCAAACUGAAUAAUCCCCCUCUAGGGCUGACUGUGCUGGCUCACGCCUGUAAUCUCAACACUUUGGGAAGCUGAGGCAGGAGGAUUGCGUGAGGCCAGUAGUUCCAGAGCAGCUUGGGCAGCAUAGCAAGACUCCGUCUCUAAAAAACAAACUGUAAAAUAUUUAAUAAAAAUAAUAGUAAUCUCUAUCUGGGCCUCAUCUAGACCUUUAGGUGAGUAAGAACCACCUAAUGUAAGAACUUGGGGUACAAAGAGAAUCUAGCUCUGGGGUAGGCAAACUGAGCCAGCCGACCUAAUACAUGGAGCCUACCACCUGUUUUUCUACAGCCCUGAGGUAGAAAUAGUGAAACUAAGGGAAAUUUCAGUCUGGUGAGGACCUCACAAUGCCCCUUGCCUCCUGACUCUUGAAUGCCCUAAAAUUUACAUCAGGCUACCUCUUCCAGCUCUAUCUGCCAGAUAGCUAAGCUGGGAUCUCUGAGCUGGUGAAGGGACUUGCCCAUGGAGUCAAGGAAUGCUCAGGGUUCAUGCCUCAGGACUGUUCUCACCAACUUGACUCACCUUUGGGGCUCUAGUGGAGCCCGUGGGCCUUCCGGCAAACAGAAGUAGGCAAUGGGGGUCAGGAAAUGGCCCCCACUGCCUGUCCAGCGUGGUGCCAGCUCAGCCUAGGAUCCCAUGUCCCCUGGCACACCAGUGGUUUGAUAUAACCAGAGGAUCUCCUGCCCAUGAGGGGCGGCAGCGCUCCAGUUACCAACCCCCAAGUGAAAGAUCCUGGAUCAAGUCUUUCCUGAUUGGCCUGCACCCAGAGGCUACGCUACCAGAAGAGGAACUGGACAAGGGCACACCCCAAGAUAUACACGCGUUUUUUCCUUGAAAGGCCCAGGCUUUGAGGAGGCGAUCGCAACCAGUGGGCUGAAUAAAAGAGCAAGUGUCGGCACGGAGAG